CACAAUCACGAUCUAAGAACAAAAGUGGUUUCAUGACAUGGUUCCCUCAAGUGCCCAACUCAAGAGUGGAAAAGCUUGUGAAUGUCGAUGCACCAUUGAUUGAACGAUCCAUAAGGCAUUUUCCGAAGGGUGUUUCAGAAAAGAACAUUCGUGUACCCACGUAAUCGUUCAUAAAAAAAAUAAAGGAGAUUUCGAGUGGAGGAAAAUAUGAGUGGAAUGACAGUUAUAACGCUUAGCACAAAGCAAAAAUACAAUAACAUUUUUAGCAAUAAAAGUAAAUUAAAACACAUAUCCAACAAAAAAGAGAAAAGGGGAGGGGAUAGGCAUGGAGACAUGAAAAACACAAAAAGGGGAAAGAGAAGGGAGUAACAUGUAAAAAUAAAUCAUGAUGUAAGCAAUAAAACCAAACAAGGAUAAGGUAAUUAUGAAAAAAUAAGACAAAGAAAGUAGUAGAAUCCCACAUAAGCACAAACUCAUAAUGGUUAGAACCUAAGUAUUCCCCAGCAGAGUUGCCAUUUUGUCGCGCCCCUUUCGCGCAAAAAGCAGGAUUCGACGUGACAACUCUUUUUGAAAUUUGUUGAAAAGUGAACAGUCGCCACCUAAAGAAUUAAGGUGUGUUAGGUCACCAUUCUAGGCUAAUUACAAACCUAUAUUAUUGUUUAGUCUAGUUCACCAGAAACUUGGGUAAGAGUUCAAAUUAUCUCGAAAGAAAUGUGUUAGGCACCUUUCGAGACCCACAAAUGUAGAUCCCGACCGAAUUCAUAUUUUUCGUGGGGAUUCUACGUGAUCAACAAAGGUCGCUUAUUUAUUAACUUAAUAAUAACUAAGUGAUAACAAAUAAUAAUAAACAAGACAUCAAACUCAAAUUAUUUCUAGAUGUUUAUUAGCCAGGAGAUGAUAAGAUGCAUAAAAAAAAUGUCUCAGAUAAGCAAGAAGAUAGAAAAGACACAAUCAUAUAACAACAUAUUUAUAUUAAAUUAAAGAACCUAAACUACCCCAAGCAAAUACACAUAAUAAAGUAAAUAAGAGAGAAACAAGUUUGAAUGAUCGGAUAAAGGAGUUGUUUACUUGAAUUCAAAAAGGAUAAAACUAGCGUUCUCUAAAAUGCCUAUCAUCCCAACCUAUCAUCCAAGAGGCAUUGGAUGUUUCUAAUUUGGAUUUAGAUAUAGACAAAUAAAACUAGACUUCCUAGUUAGAUUUAAGUGCGUAAAAACACAUAGAACAUCAAGUAGCACAUAAAAGUCUCAAGAUAAGCCUCUUGAUUAUUUAAGAAUUAGUUAAGUGAGUAACAUGCUAAACAAACAAACAUUCAGCUAAACAAACAAACAUUCAUUUUUUUAUGUAAUUAACUUAUAGGCAUGAUACUAAGUGUUCAACAAUUCAUUAGUAUGUCAACUAUUAAUUAAAGAAGUCCUAUGGGCAGGAUAUCUCACGUUGUUGACUAAUUAAUCGUAUUAGAAAAAAAACUCAUGAACAACCCUUAGAAUGUGAACAUUUUAAAUAAGACUAAAUAAGCUACUGUGAUGAAGAUUUAUAUUAUGAAAAUUACACACAAGUGCUAAAACAGUGUGCGAACGUAUUAAUUAAACAUGCCUCUGAAAUCAAACAUGAGGCUGAGAACAACUUUAAUAUUGAAAAUUAGCAGGCAUAUCACGUCCUAAAUACUAAAAGAUUUAAUGCUAAAAAUUAGUAAAAUAUAGAUGAUGUAAUUUAAAUUAAUGUUGAAGAAACAAUCUCGCUAUUGGGAAUAAAGUAUAUAUCCUGCUUUUAACAAUUAAUGCUAAAAAACAUUUUUGGUGUCAGAAAUUUAAAAGAAAUUAAUGUUGAAGGCCAUUUGUUGAAAUCGGAAUUAAAAAAAAAUUGGAAUGCCGAAAAACGGCAAUAUACCUAAACUGUUUCUGUUGUUAUUAACAAGAAUUAAGUUGGAAUUUAAAAUCUAAUUGUUAAACCAUUGCUUGAACAAAAGCUAAAAUAAAUGUGAGAAGAAUAUGUCUCAUUGUAAGUUAAUUAUCAUACUCGAAAUCGAUUAUAAUUGGUGAUUAAUCCUGAAAACAUGCUCUCUAUGCGUUCAAAUAAGUUAGUGAACCUAAGUUGUGUUUGCCUGAGUGAUUCAGGUAGCACACAAACCUCACCCACUAAGUAGCCCCCACAAUUAUUAUUACAUAGGUAGUGUUUAUACAAGGCAAUUAUUACAGACUAAAUGAAUUAAUAAAGAAAAGGCUAAACUAAAAAGGCAGCCUUUCCCCAAACUUCCGGAUGACUUCAAAUUCCAAAACCAUCUAGUUACACCUGUUAGAAACAAAAAAUGGCGAAGCAAGCACAAAGGGACAAACAAGUAUACAACGACACGAUUUCAAACACAGAAACAACGAUACAAAGGUAUAGCAAACAAACACAAAUACUGAAUAGCUCCUAUAGGCAUGUUCAUAAAGUUAUCACAUAAGAUAGAAAAAUUACGUCGACAGAAAUUUACCGGUAAGCCGAGAGAAAAAUAAUACAAGAAAACCUUUUAUGUAAAGCCGUUGAAGUAAUAGCACAGAACUGAAUUUCUUCUUAAAACCCAAAAUGCAAAAUAGUUGGAAAAUAUUUCUCAACUUCUGUAUAAAGGAUGUAUAUAGCUAGAAUUGUUUUUCCGGGAGUAGUAGUUGAGGGGAACAUGAAUAUUAAUGAGAAGAUAGGUGGCCGGGGGGGGGGGGGGGGGGGGGUCGUGGGANNNNNNNNNNNNNNNNNNNNNNNNNNNNNNNNNNNNNNNNNNNNNNNNNNNNNNNNNNNNNNNNNNNNNNNNNNNNNNNNNNNNNNNNGGGGGGGGGUCGUCUAUGGUGAGUAGUAGCAAAAAUUAAUUAUAGAAACAAAUAAGAAAGAAUCAAUUGAUGGCAGUAGAAAAGGAACACAAUAUUCUAAAAAUCAAUUAAUGUAAAUCAGUAAACUGAAUCAAUUAAGAAAGGAGGAAACUAUUCCAAUUGUCAUAUAAGCAUUCAUACACAAUUUGUUAAAACUAGGAAAGGUAAGAGAGAGAGCUAAUAUGAAAUCUUUAUCAAAACUAGGGAACAAUGAGGCUAUCAGUCUAUUAAAAAAUUUUAAUUGAGAAAAUUAACUACUAACACACAUAAAUUAUUUAUUUACCAUAAAUAUUCAAAUACCAAAGCUGGAAAAAAAAAUCAUUCCAAAGAUCCCACUCAUUCCAAACAAGAGAAAAGGAAUCUAUUAUUACUCAAAAUAAGCCAACCACAUAAAUAUUUGACAUAACAUUCGUAUUUUCUAAGUACCGAUUCAGCCAAGAAAUAAAAAAUGAUUAAGAAGGAUUAUCAAGAUUUGAAUUUCACAGACUAACACACGGUAUACAUCAUAUAUUAGCUAGACAAUUAGCAUCCAAAGUCAGAGAAUUUGAAUAGUAGAAAUUGUGUGUUUUGACAUAUGUUACCCUAGAUGCAUAAAAAACAUGCCAUUAUGCUAAUUUAACAUCAAACAUUACCAAUUUCGAAUCCAAGAAUCUGCUUAGAAAAAAGUAAAAAGGUAGAAAAUUCAGAAAAUUUUUAAACAGGGAACAAACCUGAGGCGGAGUCAUGUUUGCGAAUCUGCGAUGCCCUUCAAAUAAUUUUUCGGUGAAUUUCAGUCCGGGUCAAGGGCAGAGAAGCGACUGAUAUUGUUGCUAUUUCACCGGUAUUUCGCCGGCGAGGGAAGGAAGGACGGAGCGGUGGCUGCAUGUGAUGGAGAAUCGUCGGUCAGCGAUGACCGAUGUUAGGAUUGAUGUGCACUGGUCUUGGAGCCUCUCAUAGACAGCAGCGCUGGUUUGGUUGGUUUCGCCGGUGAAGCCCGAUGUUUGGCUUGGCGGCAGAAACCAUUUGAUGGUGGAGAGUCACCGGCUAGAGAAGGGAGAAAGAGCAGUGGUGGCAGCUAUGGUAUCGGCUUUGAUGGUGACACCGAUUGGCUGCUCCACCGGCUGCUAUUGUCGUUGGAUGUUGUUGUCCGUCAGCGGUACUAGUGGACGUAAGAGAGAUAUUUUAGAGAGAGAGAUAGAAUGAGAGGAAGUGUUGGUUUUGCUGGUGGCUGGCCGCGAGAAAAGAGAGAAAGGGGAGGCGGCAUUGGCAGCGCUGGUGGCGGGAAUGGGGUCGCCGGUGGUGGUGAAAUUUUUAGAGAGAUAGAGAGAUGGAGUUGUUUUUGUCAAAAUAUGAGAGAUUAGGGUUUGUUGAGUUUAAAAGGAAAGAAAAAAUGAUUUGAUCUCAACUGUUAAUCAAUUUUGAUCAACGGAUGAGAUUAGAAGGAUUUAAAAAGCGCAAUAAAAUUGAAGUUUCAUUUGAUAUUAAAAUUGAUAUCUGGCUAAAAUUA
RNAcentral lists this long non-coding RNA (4326 nucleotides) under Capsicum annuum. RNAcentral's name for it is "long non-coding RNA (CANN_LNC004641)". Lineage: Eukaryota; Viridiplantae; Streptophyta; Magnoliopsida; Solanales; Solanaceae. The record is from RNAcentral.